This 245-nucleotide ribosomal RNA is filed under the name uncultured bacterium. RNAcentral's name for it is "partial small subunit ribosomal RNA". It matches the Rfam family "Bacterial small subunit ribosomal RNA", at positions 26 to 285 of the family's 1533-position model. The record is from RNAcentral.
AGAAUCAACGCUGGCGGCGUGCCUAACACAUGCAAGUCGAACGAGAAAGGGUAGCAAUACCUGAGUAAAGUGGCGCACGGGUGAGUAACACGUGACUAACCUACCUUUUAGUGGGGGAUAACCUAGGGAAACCUGGGCUAAUACCGCAUAAUACCUACGGGUCAAAGCAGCAAUGCGCUGAAUGAGGGGGUCGCGGUCGAUUAGUUAGUUGGCGGGGUAAUGGCCCACCAAGACUGUGAUCGGUA